Molecule: ribosomal RNA, 786 nt
Filed under: Aspergillus penicillioides
Lineage: Eukaryota; Fungi; Ascomycota; Eurotiomycetes; Eurotiales; Aspergillaceae
Description: eukaryotic LSU rRNA
Rfam family: Eukaryotic large subunit ribosomal RNA
Source: RNAcentral
GGAAAAGAAACCAACCGGGAUUGCCUCAGUAACGGCGAGUGAAGCGGCAAGAGCUCAAAUUUGAAAUCUGGCCCCUCCGGGGUCCGAGUUGUAAUUUGUAGAGGAUGCUUCGGGUGCGGCCCCUGUCUAAGUGCCCUGGAACGGGCCAUCGGAGAGGGUGAGAAUCCCGUCUGGGAUGGGGUGUCCGUGCCCGUGUGAAGCUCCUUCGACGAGUCGAGUUGUUUGGGAAUGCAGCUCUAAAUGGGUGGUAAAUUUCAUCUAAAGCUAAAUACUGGCCGGAGACCGAUAGCGCACAAGUAGAGUGAUCGAAAGAUGAAAAGCACUUUGAAAAGAGAGUUAAACAGCACGUGAAAUUGUUGAAAGGGAAGCGCUUGCGACCAGACUCGCCCACGGGGUUCAGCCGGCUUUCGGGCCGGUGUACUUCCCCGGGGGCGGGCCAGCGUCGGUUUGGGCGGCCGGUCAAAGGCCCCCGGAAUGUAACGCCCCUCCGGGGGCGUCUUAUAGCCGGGGGUGUCAUGCGGCCAGCCUAGACCGAGGAACGCGCUUCGGCACGGACGCUGGCAUAAUGGUCGCAAACGACCCGUCUUGAAACACGGACCAAGGAGUCUAACAUCUACGCGAGUGUUCGGGUGGCAAACCCGUGCGCGCAGUGAAAGCGAACGGAGGUGGGAGCCCCCUCGAGGGGCGCACCAUCGACCGAUCCUGAUGUCUUCGGAUGGAUUUGAGUAGGAGCGUAGCUGUGGGGACCCGAAAGAUGGUGAACUAUGCCUGAAUAGGGUGAAGCCA